CAUUGAUGAUAGUGAGGGAAAUUUCUAAGCAUACCCUUAAAUCUUUCCCAAGCUUGGUAAAGAGUUUCUCCUUCUUUCUCCCUAAAACUCAAAAUCUCGCUUCUUAGAUG
Molecule: non-coding RNA, 110 nt
Organism: Capsicum annuum
Lineage: Eukaryota; Viridiplantae; Streptophyta; Magnoliopsida; Solanales; Solanaceae
Source: Rfam